RNAcentral lists this ribosomal RNA (478 nucleotides) under uncultured bacterium. RNAcentral describes it as "partial 16S ribosomal RNA". It matches the Rfam family "Bacterial small subunit ribosomal RNA", at positions 28 to 523 of the family's 1533-position model. The record is from RNAcentral.
GACGAACGCUGGCGGCGUGCUUAACACAUGCAAGUCGAACGGUAAGGCCCUUCGGGGUACACGAGUGGCGAACGGGUGAGUAACACGUGGGUGAUCUGCCCUGCACUUCGGGAUAAGCCUGGGAAACUGGGUCUAAUACCGGAUAGGACCACUGCCUGCAUGGGUGGUGGUGGAAAGCUUUUGCGGUGUGGGAUGGGCCCGCGGCCUAUCAGCUUGUUGGGGGGGUGAUGGCCUACCAAGGCGACGACGGGUAGCCGGCCUGAGAGGGUGACCGGCGACACUGGGACGGAGAUACGGCCCAGACUCCUACGGGAGGCAGCAGUGGGGAAUAUUGCACAAUGGGCGCAAGCCUGAUGCAGCGACGCCGCGUGAGGGAUGACGGCCUUCGGGUUGUAAACCUCUUUCAGCACCGACGAAGCGCAAGUGACGGUAGGUGCAGAAGAAGGACCGGCCAACUACGUGCCAGCCGCCGCCGUAA